ACCCGCUGUGCAUUAGAGUGUACACGGGCACAUCUCGCUACAUCUCAGCGGGGAAAGCAGCAGCAGUUUCACCAAACGCCGGAUGAUACCCCAGCAGGAGCCAGAUGCGGUAGAACCGAUAAUAUUGCAAUUCCCGUUCUGCUGGCAGAAGUAGAGCAUAUGAAGCAUUUUUCAGAAAGCCUAAAUACAUAAAAAUUAAGGUAUGUUAACAAGUUCCAGUUAAAGAACAGAGACAACUGCCAAACCAGCUUUAUUCAUGGGAGAAAAGAAGCAGAAGCUCCAGUAUGCGGAUUGAAGGCAUCUUGGUGCCACGAUUUAAAGGGACAGAAUAACAACUGCAAGGGGACAGCAGACAGUACAAGAAAGAAGUAUCUGUUACUGAUUACUUAACCGUUGCGAGAGGAGAACCCAAGAGGGGAACAUCUUGUCUUCAAGUCAGUAACACAUUGUAACAAGAGCUGGGGGGAAACUUGGGAAUUGUGCAACUCUGAAUGCAGGGAACUAAUGAUUAUUUGCAUAGAAAUAAAAAAAAGGUUAAAGUUUUA
This is a non-coding RNA of Struthio camelus australis, 545 nucleotides long. The record is from RefSeq and is a predicted model, not a curated record. NCBI's taxonomy places the organism in Eukaryota, Metazoa, Chordata, Aves, Struthioniformes, Struthionidae.